This 1580-nucleotide long non-coding RNA is filed under the name Physcomitrium patens. RNAcentral's name for it is "long non-coding RNA (PPAT_LNC002940)". The record is from RNAcentral. Lineage: Eukaryota; Viridiplantae; Streptophyta; Bryopsida; Funariales; Funariaceae.
AAAACCCACUUUUGUCCUCCACGGCGGAUCCAACACCUUGAUCCAUCUACCAAUUGUACAAGAAAACCGAAGAACUCACGCACGUGGGGGGAUCUUCGAAAAUCCUAGAUGCAAGGCCUGGCCCAGCUGUGAUAGGUGGAGCAAGCAGGGAGUGAAGGGGGGCGUAGAAUUACGCCAUAGCCAUGGCCUCCAGUUGAGCCAGAGUCCUCCUCCGCCAUAGCCAUAGCCAGACCUAGAGUUACAGAGCGAGAGAGUGAAAGAGGAUCCAAUUGGAAGGCGAUCGGAGUCAGAUAGAUACCCAGAAGACGGAUCCGGAAGGAAGGCACGAUGAAUCCCGAAUAGUGAGUGCCCCAGUUUUGUUGGAGUUUUGGGUGGGAGGUUGCGUUGAUGCUUGCAGUGCAGUUUUUUGUGGUGGUGGUGGUGGGGGGUUGAAUUAGUUAGGGGAGGUGGUGGCAUCUGCGGAGCUGCAGAUCAGUGGAUCUUGAUAGUGUGUGUGUGCGGGGCACGGAAUGUGGGGGUUGCGGUGGUUUGUGGCAGCGGCAGUGGAAAGGACGGAUCAUUGAGGGCGUGUAGUUGACAGUGUAGCCCGUGAGGGGGCUGGCGGGGAUUGAGAGUUGGGAUAGGAGUGUGGAAACGGGGAGCGUUGGAGUGGAUGUGUGAUGCAUGUGUGGUAAGAAAAUAGUGCUCUGCUCCUGUCAGGAGCGGAGCUACACGAAGUCCUUGUAUGUCCUGACUUUGCUUCUUUCUUGUAAUUUUGAGUCUCGAAAAUCACAUUUGGUUUUUUUUCGCAAGGUAGGUGUAGCUGAGAGCUUUUGACGAUUUGUCUGUGUCGACUUUUGAGUCUCUAUUCGGAGUCCUUAUGAGGGGCAUGACAUGGCGCGCAAGGAUGACAAUUGAGGCCUGGGUAGGUUGGUUGAGAGGAUCGAACGAUGUGUGGAGUCGUUUUUACCGUGAAAGGGUGAGGAGAUUGUAUAAUUGUGGUUGGCAAAGUGCGUGUUGCUGGAACAGUGUCGGCUGCUCAACCUCUUGAGCAUCGGUGGAAGACCUGCCAGAUGUUGUUGGAUGUCAGACUGCAUAUUGGUGACGUGGUCUACAUGAGGUGGUAGUUUGAUGGUCGCUUGACCAUCGCGCACGAUAAGAUCGUUUUAGGGUUUAUGUCGUGGAGUGUGUGAAUACGCGUGCCAAAUGUUGCGCCGGGCAGCGGUGGAUGGGUAGUGUAGCGUGGUUUUGAGGGUUUGGGUGAAGUGUGUCCGGGCAUGUUCGGCGUGGGGUUCAAACUUGGUAAAGUGUGGUGGGUCUGAUCAAGAAAGAUGCAGGAGUUGGUUGGGAUGGAUUAUGGUGGUGUAUGCAGAUAUGAAUUGGUGGUGACAAACGAGCAGAAUUUAGCCCACAGGAUGAGGAGCAUGAUGAGUCGUGACUGAUGGACGUGGGUGGUGGGUUUGGCAGUGAUUACCUUUUCAAGCUGUUGCUGAUCGGAGACUCCGGUGUUGGAAAGUAGUUGCCUUCUGCUACGAUUUGCAGUAUGGUUCUAUUCUCAAGCUUUUGAUGUGCACAGAUGAUAGCAUGAAAGCUUGGAAGAC